ACACCAUCUACUCUUCCAAACUUUAGCUUUCCCCUUCUUUGAAUUGCCCUAGCUCAUUCAGAUUAGAGAACCCUAAGCCCUCCACGCACGAAGUGACGAUUGCUCCUAACCCUAACCUUGUCUUCAUUGUGCCUCACCCCAACCCACUCUUCAUUGUGCCUCACGAAGAACCCCCUAAUCGCGAUGAAGAACAUCAUAUCGAAGAACCCUAACCUCUCUUCAUUGUGCACUCCGCGAAGAACGUUGCCGGCGCGCGUGAUGCUUCUGUCGGCAAUCCCUCUUCUGGCACCUGUAACCCUCCUUUGAGCUUCGCGUGAUGGCCCCCUGAACAACCACCCCAGCUCUGUCUCUAUCACCUCCAAUCACCGCUACGGCGCCACUGCACCUUCACCUCCGUCGCCGCGCCUCUCGCCGGAUCCACCAGCUCUCCUCUGCUCGCGUCUCGCGUCUCCGCCUCCGGCCGCCUGCGUUUUGCUUGCAUCUCUGUCUCUGCUUCGCUCGCGAUUCUAUCACGAGCUCGCCUCCACUGCUCAAGUGCUUACUCCCUCUCAUCGCACAAGGCUUCGACGUCUCGAGCUUCUUCCCUCAAGUUUCACAUCCAUCUCUUUCUCUAAAUACCACAAAUUCAAUGCGAUUUUGUUGACCUUUAUUUGGGAGCGGGAAUUUAGAAUUAAGAUACAGGGAUUUUAGAAGAUGAAAUCUGUUCCUUUCUUUGUUUAAUUGUGAUCUAUUUUUUCUUGUUUUCUAGUUGUAUUUCGGUUCAGUAUUGUUAUGCUUGCCAUUUGUUUGAUGAAUUUCCUGAGAGAGAUGGAAAAAAGUGGAACUUGAUUUCUAUGUUUCCUAUUUCCAAUUCACAAGAUUUACGUAAUUUUCCUCUUGGAUUGCUUAUAAAAUUGGGUGUAAGCAGUUAGUUUUCUCAGAUUGUUAAUGCUGUACAAUUUCUAAACUCUACCAUUUUUCACAGUGGAGGAAAAAAAUAUAUGGACGAGGUGGUUAUAAUCCUAUCCUAGGCUUUGAAAAUGAUGUCUACUUCAUUGCCAGCAUACCAUAUACUUCAUUGGGAAUUCAUCUUCCGGUAGGUUAGUAUUUUCUAUCCAGUCUUUCCACCUGUCCGAAGGAGAACUUGGGGGAACACAUUCCCUUGAUGCAUGCCUUGAGAUCACUCAAUUUAUAUCUUAUUUCGGCAAACUGUUGCUCAACUUUAGUUUUCCAAAUUGCAAUUCACCAACUUUGAGCUACUUUAAAUGCUUAUUGUGAUCAUUAAUUAUUAAUUUAUUAUAGACUGCAGAGAGAGUAAUAUUUGCAUUGUAGAGUUUAUACUUUACACCAUGUUUACUGUGCUAAGAUCUUAUUCGGAGUGAGGUUAGUAUUUGUUAUGCUGUUCAAACAUUUUCGAUUAUUCCAAGCUUAUUCCUUGUUGUGCAUAUUAAUUACCUUUUGACUUUUAUUCCAUUGCUUUACUUUCAGUUUUCUUUUUCUAAUAUAUACCAUAUUUCCUCCUUUUUUUGUAUGAACGGCAUGCAUAUACUAUGUAGCGUACUGUUCUCAUAAUAAAUUAUAUUUAGGUUGAUUGUAGACAAUUCAGGUUAUAAUUAUUUGGAUAGUUGUUCUUUGUCUCGGGCAAUAUCUCUUUUGAUUCAACAUUGGUGAGUGAAACUAUAUCCUAAAUUAGGAACUGGGUGGAUCAAAUUGAGUUAGAUGGAGAAGUAAUUGAAUUCAGUUACCGCGGCUCGUAGGGGUUCUAUUCCCUGGUGGCAAUUGCUGAGAGGAAGCGUAGAGAGAAGCUCAGCCAGCGCUUCAUUGCUUUAUAUGCCCUUGUUCCUGCCUGUGAAAGUUUCAAAAGAAAGCAGUUAUAGUUCAGACUAAAACUCUUCAGAAAAGUGCCAAGUAUGUCGAGAUGGUUGAUGCUGACUCAGCAAAGAAAGUUUCUAAAACCCCUUUUACACCUAGUGCUGCAACAGGUGGAUCAAAGACACUAUUUGUUUGGAAACCUGUCAUUUAGUUUGCAACGAUCUGACUUGUAUGUAUUGUAUAUCUUAUAUUUCCUUGUUUAUAGUGUAUUUUUUUUCUUAUGAUGUCAUGUUACUGUUGUUCAAUGAGGAGUUUUUCAAAGAUUGUGGAGAAGUUGUUGAUGUUCGUUUUUCUGUUGACGAUACUGGGAGGUUUAAACGCUUUGGACAUGUUGAGUUUGCUAUUGCAGAGGUAGCACAAAGUGCUCUUGAAUUGAAUGAGCAUGAGUUGUUGAAUCGACCUGUUAGGCUUGAUUUAGCUCGUGAAAGAGGUUCAUAUAUCCCUGGUGGCAGCAAUUUCUUCCAGAAAGGUGAUCAGUGUCAAACUGGUCAAACUUUAUACUGGGUUUUGAUAAAUCUCUUGGAGAAGAGAUAAGAGCUAACCUAAAUGAGCAUUUUGGUUCCUGCAAAGAGAUCUCGAGGGUGUCAGUCCCAAAAGAUUUUGAGUCUGGAGGUCCUAAAUGUUUUGAUGCUGAGGCAUACACUUAUGAUGAUAAGGUCAUCAAGCUGAAGCAAUGGGGGAAGCCUGAAAAUCCUAAAGAAGGAGCUACUGUGGAAACUACUAGAGCCAUAAAACAUCAUCAAGAAAGCUGAAGCAAUGGGGAAGCCUGAAAAUCCUGAAGCUACUCUGGAAACUACCAGAGCCAUAAAAGCUUCUCAGUUGUUGCUAAAUGCCAUUGAAAUUCUGAAGAAGAAGCUGGAUGUUGGAUGUCUCUGAGCACAUAGUGGAUGCUGAUGAUUAGUUUGGUGAAUUGGGUGCACAUAUGUGAGGAGGUCGAUCAAAAUUAUUGUUAGAUAAGAUGGCAAAGUUAUUGGAAUUGUAAUUCAUAUAUUAGGAAUAUAUUGCGUAGUUGUUAUCACUUUGAUUUUUGAUAUUUUGUUAUACUGUCAUGUAAUUAAACAUUUUUUUGGUGACAAGUUUAUGUAUGUUGGAUUA
Arachis stenosperma is the source of this 2946-nucleotide RNA transcript. It is a transcript of the gene named nucleolin 2-like, with no coding region annotated. Lineage: Eukaryota; Viridiplantae; Streptophyta; Magnoliopsida; Fabales; Fabaceae. The transcript is spliced from 8 exons. The record is from RefSeq and is a predicted model, not a curated record.